UACGUAGGGCGCAAGCGUUGUCCGGAAUUAUUGGGCGUAAAGAGCUCGUAGGCGGCUUGUCACGUCGGAUGUGAAAGCCCGGGGCUUAACCCCGGGUCUGCAUUCGAUACGGGCAGGCUAGAGUGUGGUAGGGGAGAUCGGAAUUCCUGGUGUAGCGGUGAAAUGCGCAGAUAUCAGGAGGAACACCGGUGGCGAAAGCGGCACCCUGGCAUUAGCCUGACGCUCAGGUGCGAAAGCGUGGGGAGCGAACGGG
This 253-nucleotide ribosomal RNA is filed under the name uncultured bacterium. Its description in RNAcentral is "partial 16S ribosomal RNA". It matches the Rfam family "Bacterial small subunit ribosomal RNA", at positions 524 to 776 of the family's 1533-position model. The record is from RNAcentral.